This 856-nucleotide ribosomal RNA is filed under the name uncultured bacterium. RNAcentral's name for it is "SSU rRNA". It matches the Rfam family "Bacterial small subunit ribosomal RNA", at positions 524 to 1381 of the family's 1533-position model. The record is from RNAcentral.
UACGAGGGGACCUAGCGUAGUUCGGAAUUACUGGGCUUAAAGAGUGCGUAGGUGGUUGAUAAAGAUAGGGGUGAAAUCCCAGAGCUUAACUCUGGAACUGCCAUUAAAACUUUUCAGCUAGAGUAUGAUAGAAGAAAGAAGAAUUUCUAGUGGAAAGGUGAAAUUCGUAAAUAUUAGAAAGAAUACCAAUUGCGAAGGCAGCUUUCUGGAUCAUUACUGACACUGAAUAACGAAAGCAUGGGUAGCGAAGAGGAUUAGAUACCCUCGUAGUCCAUGCCGUAAACGAUGUGUGUUAGACGUUGGAAAUUUAUUUUCAGUGUCGCAGCGAAAGCGAUAAACACACCGCCUGGGGAGUACGACCGCAAGGUUAAAACUCAAAUGAAUUGACGGGGAGCCGCACAAGUAGUGGAGCAUGUGGUGUAAUUUGAAGAUACGCGCAGAACCUUACCUACACUUGACAUGUUCGUCGCGACUCUGAGAGAUUAGAGUUUUCGGUUCGGCCGGACGAAACACAGGUGCUGCAUGGCUGUCGUCAGCUCGUGUCGUGAGAUGUUGGGUUAAGUCCCGCAACGAGCGCAACCCUCACUUUUAGUUGCCAUCAUUAAGUUGGCCACUUUGAAAGAACUCCCAGUGAUAAGCUGGAGGAAGGUGGGGAGGACGUCAAGUCUUCAUGGCCCUUACGUGAUGGGCUCCCCACGUGCUCCAAUGGUAUCUCCAACAGGAAGCAAGACUGCGAGGUCAAGCAAAUCCUUAAAAGAUACCUCAGUUCGGAUUGCUCUCUGCAACUCGAGUGCAUGAAGUUGGAAUUACUAGUAAUCGUGGAUCAGCGUGCCACGGUGAAUGCGUUCCCGGGUCU